GUGGGGAAUAUUGGACAAUGGGGGGAACCCUGAUCCAGCCAUGCCGCGUGUGUGAAGAAGGCCUUUUGGUUGUAAAGCACUUUAAGCGAGGAGGAGGCUACCGAGAUUAAUACUCUUGGAUAGUGGACGUUACUCGCAGAAUAAGCACCGGCUAACUCUGUGCCAGCAGCCGCGGUAAUACAGAGGGUGCAAGCGUUAAUCGGAUUUACUGGGCGUAAAGCGCGCGUAGGUGGCCAAUUAAGUCAAAUGUGAAAUCCCCGAGCUUAACUUGGGAAUUGCAUUCGAUACUGGAAAGCUAGAGUAUGGGAGAGGAUGGUAGAAUUCCAGGUGUAGCGGUGAAAUGCGUAGAGAUCUGGAGGAAUACCGAUGGCGAAGGCAGCCAUCUGGCCUAAUACUGACGCUGAGGUACGAAAGCAUGGGGAGCAAACAGGAUUAGAAACCCCAGUAGUCC
RNAcentral lists this ribosomal RNA (451 nucleotides) under uncultured bacterium. RNAcentral's name for it is "partial 16S ribosomal RNA". It matches the Rfam family "Bacterial small subunit ribosomal RNA", at positions 354 to 796 of the family's 1533-position model. The record is from RNAcentral.